Podarcis muralis (Common wall lizard) is the source of this 1830-nucleotide non-coding RNA. The record is from RefSeq and is a predicted model, not a curated record. Lineage: Eukaryota; Metazoa; Chordata; Lepidosauria; Squamata; Lacertidae.
CGAGCAGCCCGCGAGGCUCCCGCCAUUGCCGCGCAAUUGGAGGCGUCCGGGUGUCAUUUAGUGCAAGAUGAAAUCAAAUGACCCUCUUUCUGAAAUCGCCGUGUCUGUGAGGAGAAGUGAGGACUCUGAGAGGGGUCGUGGUCUCCCGACGCCGCGGCCAUUAUCCCCCAUCGGGGCCUUGGCGGCGGCAUUCAGCGCGAAGCCGGAGCGGCGCCCCGAGAGCCGAGCCAGGCGCGGGCCUUGCCCCACUUCCGGAGCCCCGGCCUUCCGAGGCUCCUUCGCUCGGGGCUCCUCCAUUCCCAGCCGCUGUGCUCCCGGAAGGCCUCCCGGUUGGGCAGCCGGCGAAGAAGAGCGGGGCGGGCGAGGCGACCAGGUCUGCCGGCCGGGCAGCCCCUUCCGGACGCGGCAAGCCGCUCUCCUCCGGAGCUGGUUUAGCGGCCUUUCGUAAAGCAGCACGUAAUUGGUGCUUCCGGGUUGGAGAAAGUUUAAGGCGGCACUUUAAAAUCUGGACUAUGGAGAGCAGCGGACCAAGGCGAUUGGCGAGGAGCUGUCCACUAUUUCAGCAACCCGUUAGUUUUUAUUACUACGCUUACUUCGCAAUUUUUUCCUAAAGCUGCUCAUACAUCCUGUCAGUAUACUUAACAGGGCGAAUUACAGAAUAAUUGGGUUUUGUUUUGCUUUUAAAAAGUCUGAACUUUUGAGGACUUUCCUCUUCCUUGAGCAGAAUUGCCCGUUUCUUUUUCCCCAUGGAAACCACUUCAUUGUAGUAGUUCCGGCAUACUUCGGAAUAUUCUGAGUGAUCUGAAUGAAUGUGCACGCAUGUUUGGGAAAAUAUGCACAAUGUUUCUCUUUAUGAGUAUAUAUGCUUGUGGAUCGCGUGUGUAUUUUACACUGUUUAUAUUGCAGUGUUGAUGCUCUUCCUCUUUGUUUGUAAAUGUCCGAAAAUCCUUACACCCAAAUCUCGGUUUUUAAACGUAACACCGGUGACUGCUGACAGUUACGUUAGGUGAAGGAGAGCAUUAAUCUGUGUCUGUGUCCUCCUUUUCGAAGUGUACAAAAAGGGACCACCAAAAUUGUCGGCGUUCCCAUGUGGUCAAGGGACCCUGCAUUUCUGACAUUCAGUGUAACAUAAUUGCUCUCUUCCAAGUAAUAUCAGGGUGUUUUUUAUAUAUGGGUGUUCUUAUAUAUCUUCUUCAUGUGUUUUUUUAACCAAAACAAAACCCCUGAUAUACAAUAUAUUCUUAAUAUCCUUAAGGGCGUUACGUGGGUGGGUACAUAAAUUCGCUGAAUAAAUUAUGCUUUUCAAAAUCCCAGUGAUCAGUGUAAUAAGUUGGUGAACUGUCUAAGCAGGGGAAGUCUUCCUGUGCCAGCUCCAUUCAAACAAAUGGGAGCUGCUUUUGGGUUUUACAGGUCAUUAGUUCCAUUGAGGGUUGUGCAGGAGACAUUCCCGCCGGAUGAUGGCCUUAGAUUUACGUGCAUAUAUUUUUGCGUCACUUCUGUCUAUUUUCCUAUUAGAAUUCCACACCAGGAUGCUAACAACUGAAAAGUAAAGGACUGCAUCUAGUGGCACGAUCCCACCACCGAUUCGCCUUUCCUUUAAGGGCGCUGGGAUGCCCGCUCCCCCCCCCCCGUUUUUAUAUCUCUUUAGGUUCAGGAGUGGCAGCUUUCUGGUACAAGUGCAACACUGAUUGUUCUCUUAUCUCAGGUUUCAUACCUUCUCCCCAAUACUUGGAAGCAACCCCCUCCUCUAAUUUUAACGGAAUUUACUUACAGUGCAUAAGCACAAAGCCCGCUGGAAUAAAUUAUUUUGUCCUCCUGAGCAUCAUUCGA